RNAcentral lists this ribosomal RNA (422 nucleotides) under uncultured bacterium. RNAcentral's name for it is "bacterial SSU rRNA". It matches the Rfam family "Bacterial small subunit ribosomal RNA", at positions 355 to 774 of the family's 1533-position model. The record is from RNAcentral.
UGAGGAAUAUUGGUCAAUGGGCGGAAGCCUGAACCAGCCAAGUAGCGUGCAGGAAGACGGCCCUAUGGGUUGUAAACUGCUUUUGUGCGGGAAUAAAGCGGGUCACGUGUGACCCUUUGCAUGUACCGUACGAAUAAGGACCGGCUAAUUCCGUGCCAGCAGCCGCGGUAAUACGGAAGGUCCGGGCGUUAUCCGGAUUUAUUGGGUUUAAAGGGAGCGUAGGCCGUCUCAAAAGCGUGUUGUGAAAUGUCCGGGCUCAACCGGGGCCGUGCAGCGCGAACUGUGAGACUUGAGUGUGCGGAAGGUAUGCGGAAUUCGUGGUGUAGCGGUGAAAUGCAUAGAUAUCACGAAGAACUCCGAUUGCGAAGGCAGCAUGCCGCAGCAUUACUGACGCUGAUGCUCGAAGGUGCGGGUAUCGAACA